UCUUUGCCCGCGCUGCCCGGCGACCGGUGAUUGGCCCACAGAGCAGGAAGAGGCUGCGCCGCCAGAUCUCGGGUUGGCCGGGCGUUGGAAAGAGCACCUCGGUCCCCUGGCUUUGGAACCUAUGGAGACCCUCCGCGUCCGUGGAACUCGGGAUUGUGCCCUCGACGGUCUCCUUCCAUGCCUCCCGACGGCAGGAUCUGGAAUCGGGUCCCUAGCCCCUGUGAGAGACACAUAUACCCUGGCCAAACCCUGGGGACAGCCAAGGUAGAAACCAGGUACACGGUUUACUGUUAAGACCACGGCUGCGGGGCGCGCCCGACUCCUUGCACCCGCGGGACGGCUCUCAGUCUCUGGACUGCAGUUUAGGAAGAGGAACUUUGCUUGGUGCAGAGUGAGCAUGGGGCAGGAUGGUUCCCCACCUGAAGCCAUUGUUCUCCUUCCUGUGGUCACCUUCAAGAUUUUAAGACCAAAGAGUGCCCACAGUGGCUUGACACCACGUGCGUCUCCUUGCCAGAUGUCUCAUCGGCACUGGGUAAAAGAAUCCUUGGAUGAGCUCCCCCGCCGCACCGGGGAUAGGCCCAAGGUCCUAAAAAAAGAGGUUUUGACGGGUUGGAGCUACUCCCUUUUACUACUACAUGAGACCUGUUGCGAGCAGAUGCCGAUGUCCCGGGCUUGGAGAUGCUGGUUACACGGAAGUGCAGUUUGUGAAAAUUAACCUGCACACUUAUGUAUGUGUGUUAUGCUUCAAUUAAAAAAAAAAAGUCUCCUCCCUCUAGUCUUCCUUCCCCUUCCUAGAGGCAACCUGCUUCUUGUGUCCUUCUGGAGAUAAUUUAGGUACAUAAAAACAUACCUUUUUUUUUUUCUUUUCACAAGUAGCAUAAUAAACACACUGUUCACUUUGCUUUCUUUUCUCACUUGAUACAUCUUGUAGAUUGUUUAAUUUCAGCACAUAUAGAUUGCUUUUUUUAAUGGCUGCAUACAUAGUGUCCCACUGUAUGGAUAAAACGUUUAUUUAGUUCAUUUUCUGUUGAUGAGCAAUUAGUUUGUUUCCAGUCUUAACUACCCUAAGAUACUGCAAUCACAUCCUUAGAUAUACUUCUUUAGAUGCAUAUAUUAGCAUGUCUGUAGAAUGAAAUUCUAGAAGCAGAAUUGCUGAUUCAAAGAAGAUUUUCUCCCAAAUCUACAAGAAGCAUUGAUAUAUCCAGAAGAUAUAUUUAUUUUGUAUCUUCAAGCUGCCCAGUUUUGAGAAGCAUGGUUUUAAGGUCUUUUAUUUAUUCAGGUGACAUGGCAGACAGAGUAAUGGACACCAAAGAUGUCCAUGUUCUAAUCCCUGAAACCUGUGAAUAUGUUAUAUUGGCAAACAGGACUUUGCAGAUGUGAUCAAGCUAAGGAUUUUCAGAUGGGAAGACUAUCUUGAAUACCAGCGUGUCCAAUGUAAUUACAAAGAUCCUUAUAAAAGGGAGACGGGAGGCUCCUCUGGGCUUGGAGCUAGUUUGCAGCGACAUGGCUAAAAUGCACCAAGAAGGUCAGAAUUGUCAGUAAAUACAGGACCCAUUGUGGUGCCUCUGUCAGGAAAAUGAUGAAGAAAAUCGAAAUAAGGGGCGCUUGGGUGACUCAGUC
This is a non-coding RNA of Leptonychotes weddellii (Weddell seal), 1620 nucleotides long. Lineage: Eukaryota; Metazoa; Chordata; Mammalia; Carnivora; Phocidae. The record is from RefSeq and is a predicted model, not a curated record.